Molecule: small RNA, 54 nt
Filed under: Caenorhabditis elegans
Lineage: Eukaryota; Metazoa; Nematoda; Chromadorea; Rhabditida; Rhabditidae
Description: Unclassified non-coding RNA K08A2.11
Source: RNAcentral
CCUAAGCCUAAGGCUAAAUAUAAACCUAAGCCUAAGCCUAAGCCUAAGCCUAAC